UUUAUUAUCCUGCUGCAACCUGCUACAGAAUCCAAAAUACUUUAAAAUUCACUCAUGGCUUGAAAGCCAGGCACAUCACAUUAGGUUAUGAUGUCUGCUGUUAAAAAGCCUAUGCAGAUAAAAUACAGCUUGCUUGCAAGAUGACUUUUCAGAAUGUAUUACCUCUUUAGGGUUGGCAUCGAUUGCAAAGGUCAGAGAAAGCCAUGGACAGCUGCUUUAAAUGCCACAGUAAUUGUGUGGUUAAUGCACUUAUAUUGUACCAGCGCUGAUUCUCAGCAGGAAUAAACUACCAUUGAAGCCUGUGGAACUAUACCAGUUUACAUCAGAAUGAGUUUCAGUUCUGUACCCACUUUGCACCUAAUAUUUAGACCAAGGAAUGGGACACUGCAAACAGUUGCUUUUUAAAACUAAAUUCCAUAAUAUUCCAACACAGAUACCUGUUUUUAGGGGGAGUCUCUCCAUGGCUCUGGUAAAAACUUGCUGGUGAUUAAAGCCAUCCUGAAUUUAAUCAGGCAAUGCAUAGUACCUGUGCAGCAAGUGGGAAGGCAAUAGAAGCACCCAACUUUCUGCAGAGAGAUCUGUUAGCAAACAAGCAUGAUUGGCACACUAGUUCCCUGCGAAUGUGAGGAAGCAAAAAAAAUCCCGAACUAGAAGCAGACAUCACUUUUCCUGCCAUUACUAGGUGCUGUCAAAGGCUAACUUGCUCUGCUUUGCCCUGCCUCUCUAUGGCUUUGGGUUAGAACUUUUCCGUUAGAAACCAAAUCCCACCACUGCCAAUGCAGUCACCUCUCCCUAAAGCACACUGGCACAAAGAGAUUAAAAGCCCCAACUGUGUUCAUUUUACUCCUUUACUCUGUUGAAGCACCUUGUUUAAGGGGAGCAGGAUUUACCUCUGAAUCUGCUUUUAGGUAAUAGCAAUUUCCCAUUCUCUGCUCCUACACUAAACCUCCCUCUCCCUCCCUCUUUCCCCCCUCACCCUGCACUGGCACACAGUUGAAAAAUCCUUCUGUCCUUCCUGUGAGCAUGUGUUUAUCUCUUUAUUUUUAAAUAUUAUGGCUUCCCAACAUCUGUCUCUGUGGGGUAUAAUCUUACUGAUGAAAUAUUUCAUGUUUUCCUUGAGCCCCUGUCAAUAUGUUUCCCUGUUAUCAGCUUAACAGAUGGAGACACAGAAGGAAUAACCUCAGCUUACCUGGGUGAUUUCUUUGAUCACUCAAAUGGUGGAUGGCAACAGAAGAGGGACCUAACACAGACAGAUGGAAGACAGUCACCUCUAGUUCUAGAUGAUGCAGAAUUAGAUCCCGCAUUGCUGGAACAACUCCUCCAGUGCAGCUGAGGAAACAAUUUGGGCCCUGGCAUUGCUGAGAGUGAGUGCAGCAACAGAGAGUGCAGCAACGGAGGCCACACCCACAACUACCACCAGGCAAGCAACAAGGCAACAGAGCAACUGGAGGAGAAGACGUCAGCAGGCCAUGGUCCAAGGAGAUAAGAAUAUAUCGAUGAGGUGAACCAGCGUCUCCAAUGGUGGUGCCACAAAGAAGGCUUUGGCUUCUAUGACCACAGUGCCCACUUCAAGGACAGAGGACCCCUGGGGAGAGACAGCAUCCACCUCACACAGAAAGAAGCUGAAAUACAUCUUCGGUGACAGCCAAGAGCCAAAUUAAGAGACCCAGAGCAUCAUUCAGCAAGAAACAAACAAGUACUGGAAUGAUGCCCAGCAGCAGCCUCUGGAGAGAGGUGGAGCACUGCACAGACUUUUCUGGGAUAAGUGGGCACCUCUUCCAACUAUGCUGGAAAGUUUUAGUUACUAUUGUGAAGCUGUCUAACAAACAUGGGGGAGGAUGUCGAUUAUUGUGACUAUAAGAUUCGUAGAUGAAUGAAUGGUCCAAUAUGAAUGGCCGCAGGGAAGACGUACACUGCUCUUCAAUUUUGACCAUGCUCCAAGAAAAGGUCAUUAAAAGCCACUGUCCUUCAGCACUGAUUAGCAUUCAUUGUGUCAGCACUGGGGUCCUUUGUGAAUACCUUUUUAGACUGUGCUGUUAUCAGAGCUUUUAGCCAACUUGGCCAUAGGGCUAAGAAUGUUGGCUACCAGCCUACUUAAAAAGCCUGUUUGAUUUUCUUCUAAAUCUGCCUCUCAAAGGAAACUCAAAGAAACAUCACUCAAAGUAAGUUUUUUGGAACAGGAACUGUUUUUUUAUCCUGUGUUUGUACAGCAUCUAAUAUAAUAAAAGACUUAUUCUGUCUGUCUGUCUGUUAGGGCUGUGCGAAACAGCACCAUUUCAAUUUGACUUCUGUUUCGCCAUUUCAAAAGGACAAUGUUUUGUUUUGCUGUUUUGAAGCACUAUUCCAUUUUCUUUCAUCUAAAUUGUUUCACUGUUUCAACGCAUUUCAACGUUUUGCCCAUAGGCUAUAGUGGGGAAUCAUGCAAAUGCCUAUAACUUUGUCAUUUCUUGCCUGAUUUGGAUGACAACUGCAGGGGUGGUAGCCCCUUCUGAAGGCAUGAAGCCUGCAAAAUUUCAAGGAGACAGGCAUGGGGGUUUCUGGGAAACUGCACCUCAAACUGUUCAAAGUAAAACUCCUAUCACUUGCCGGUGGCAGCAGCCUGCUGUCAUGCUGCACGCAGACUUGUGGGCCCGUACGCCCCAAGAGUUCUGUGCCAGACUCCUCCUGGGGGGUGCAGGCCCAUGAAUCUAUGUGCAGGAUGACAACAGGCUGCUGCUGCCAGUUGAGGCCAGCACCAGCACUGGGUUCUUCCCAGUGGUCGGCACGGGCUGCGCCAGGCAGACUCAGGUGCUGGCGCUGGCCCCGGCCCCAGCUGGCAGCAGCAGCCUGCUGUCAUCCCGCACGCAGAUCUGGCGGCCUGCGCCCCUCAGGAGGGCUGUGGGGCUGUUAAAGAUAGGCCAAAAUUAGAACUUCUAACCCAAACACCAUCAAAUUGUUUCUAUGUUCAAGUUAACUCCUAAGAUCUGAACUGGCCUCACUAUUUUUUCACUUUCUUGAAUUGUAUGCAAAGCUGGAAAGAGGUACAGAAUGGACACAAUGAGAUUUCUGUUUAGGAACAGUUAGGUAAGAGUUCUCAAACUCUCCUGUUAAUUUUGGCUUGAAUCUAAGCCUCUUCUAGAUAUUGAGAUAAUGUUCAACUAAGCAUCCAGAUUCUGAAGUACCUUCCAUGAUGAAACUUUUGAGGUUUCCCCAGAGAAAGUUCUCUUGAUUAUGUGGUCUGUAAUUCUCACAUUCAGUGUGGGAUGGAAACACCUGAGAGUCUUGCAAAGUAAUCCUUAGGACACACAUUAACUUGCCAACUUUUGUUCUCUUUUCUUAGGAAGCUAUGUCUUUGUAAUCUCCGAUUUCCCUCAUAUGUAGAUGUUAACAAUAAAUAUUUGCUAAAUUGUUUGAACCAAAAAAAAUUCCACCAUGCAGCUUGCUUACACACUUCAACUAUUCAGUUUUCUUCUUAUGACAAGUGAGCAUGGACAGAUCUAGGAUUUUGAAAAGGGGGUACAGAUUGUGUGAUGCAUUAUUAUAUAUAACACAAUACAUGUUCUUAUCAAAUUAAAAAAAUACUAGAAACUUUACUAAUAAGCUAGAGGUUAUAUGGCUAUAUUAUAAGGUUUAAGAUAUGAGCAAAAACAAAUAUAAAUUUAUUGGAAUGUACAUUCAUUUGCUAUAUUAUGCCUAAAAAUACACAACAAACUAGGCAAUAAUAAUAAAAAAUGUUGUUUCAU
This is a long non-coding RNA of Alligator mississippiensis (American alligator), 3722 nucleotides long. RefSeq lists it as uncharacterized. The transcript has 4 exons. Lineage: Eukaryota; Metazoa; Chordata; Crocodylia; Alligatoridae. The record is from RefSeq and is a predicted model, not a curated record.